CCUACGGGCGGCUGCAGUGGGGAAUAUUGGACAAUGGGGGCAACCCUGAUCCAGCCAUGCCGCGUGUGUGAAGAAGGCCCUCGGGUUGUAAAGCACUUUCAGUGAGGAAGAACGCCUGGUGGUUAAUACCCAUCAGGAAAGACAUCACUCACAGAAGAAGCACCGGCUAACUCCGUGCCAGCAGCCGCGGUAAUACGGAGGGUGCGAGCGUUAAUCGGAAUUACUGGGCGUAAAGCGCGCGUAGGUGGCUUGAUAAGCCGGUUGUGAAAGCCCCGGGCUCAACCUGGGAACGGCAUCCGGAACUGUCAAGCUAGAGUGCAGGAGAGGAAGGUAGAAUUCCCGGUGUAGCGGUGAAAUGCGUAGAGAUCGGGAGGAAUACCAGUGGCGAAGGCGGCCUUCUGGACUGACACUGCCACUGAGGUGCGAAAGCGUGGGUAGCAAACAGGAUUAGAUACCCCAGUAGUC
RNAcentral lists this ribosomal RNA (465 nucleotides) under Vreelandella stevensii. RNAcentral describes it as "partial 16S ribosomal RNA". It matches the Rfam family "Bacterial small subunit ribosomal RNA", at positions 338 to 795 of the family's 1533-position model. The record is from RNAcentral. Lineage: Bacteria; Pseudomonadati; Pseudomonadota; Gammaproteobacteria; Oceanospirillales; Halomonadaceae.